AUGCAACUGAAGCGGAUUCCGAGGCAGUUCCUGCACAUACCGUCUUUGAUCAAUUUGACUGUGCGAUCCUUCAUGGAUCUGAAAGCUCUCGUUUCUUCCCUGAAUGAUUUUGCUUCACUCUCACUGGCCGAAAGUUGGGACAAUGUGGGGCUCCUGGUUGAGCCAAGCCCUCCCCAUUCUGUCCGCACCCUCUUCUUGACCAAUGACCUCACAGAGGAAGUGAUGGAAGAAGCCCUGCAGAAGAAGGCAGAUCUCAUUCUCUCUUACCACCCACCUAUUUUCCAACCGCUGAAACGCAUAACAUGGAAAACGUGGAAAGAACGUCUUGUGAUCCGAGCCUUGGAGAACCGAAUUGGCAUUUACUCUCCACAUACUGCGUAUGAUGCUGUACCUCAUGGAGUCAAUAACUGGCUUGCAAAAGGACUUGGUGCCUGCAGAUCUGCUCCCUUGCGGCCUGCAACAGCUUCCAGUUACCCCACAGGGGGGUCUUUCCGCGUUGAGUUUAGUGCUUGCCCUGAUGACAACCUUUUGUCCAGUUUGCGUGGGGUGCCAGAGGUGUCGCUCAUCACAACUGUUCCUGCCAGGGUUGAAGGGGAAGAGCAGACACGAGUCAGCGUGAACUGCACCCAACAAGCCUUGCCGCAAGUGGUGGCCUUGCUCUCCCAGAACAGUCUUCUCUAUCAAAAGACUGAAAUCAUAUCAUUACAGAAGCCUCUUCUUGAAGAUACUGGCAUGGGACGUUUGUGCACACUGAAGGAGCCAGUAUCUAUUUCCGUCUUGGUUGAACGAGUGAAAAGCCACUUAAGACUGUCUCAUAUUCGCCUAGCCCUUGGAGCUGGAAAAUCUUUGGGUAUGGUACUUGUAUUCCCUCAUAUGAAGAAACGUUGGGCCACAGACAUGCAUUACUUACUUCCUAUAAGUGGUCUAUUGUUCUUUUUGCAACAGGAGUAUGUCCACUCGCUGCAGCAAAGAGAGCUAGUUAAUUCUGAAGUGACUGUUUUUCUUCCUACUAGUGAACGGGGGCAGCCCAUGUAUCCUGGCCAUGUAAGCAGCCUUCAGCUCCUUGGAGGAAAGGCAGGUUAUAAAUAUUAUAAAACACUGCUUGAAUGCCAGUCUUGGCCAAUACACAAUCUUAAUGAGGCUUACGUCCAAGUAAAUGUCUGAGUUCAGUGGGACUUCCUCUCUAGUAAGCGUGUUUAGAAUUGCAGAAGUAAAAGUGACUAAAGCAAGUUCAGAUGGACUAUAAUAGGACCAGCUACAACUACUGGAACUGGUUUAAAAACAUGCACACAAAGAGCAGAUCCAAACAAAUGUCUUCUGAACAGAACAUCUUUUUGAGGGUAGGCUAAAAAUAAUUAGUUCCGUCUCACAUUGGGGAACAUGGAACAAUUGAAGCGGUGAAGCUCACUACAAUUUGUGGAGGACUUAACUUGGUCCUUUAGCAUUAUAUGGAUCUAGGAUGCAGGCUUUGACCGCUUGCCCAACUGGGCUGAGUGGUAUCUUCCUGGCAGCAGCUCCUUAUGGUCUUCGGCUGCUGGAGGUUUUUCAGGGUAUUGCGACCAGGGUUUACUUAUACAGUGGUGCCUCGGAAGACAAAAUUAAUUUGUGCAGCGAGUCGCUUCAUCUAGCGAUAAUUUCGUCUUGCGAAGCGCGGGUUGCCGCGGCAAAACAAACAAACAAACAAAAACCCCGCAGAAAAACUUCGUCUUGCAAGCGCGGCCAUUGAAAACUUCGUCUUGUGAGUCACCAAAAACAUCGCAAGAUGCUUUUGUUUAGCAAGUUUUUCGUUGCGCAAGGCAUUUGUCUUGCGAGGUACCACUGUACUGGAGUUUGGUUGUGAGAACUGAAUGUGAGGCUUCCUGUAGCCAAAAUGUGCUCUUCUGCUAAGUUAUAGCCUCCUCCUGUAGAACGCUUUGGAAACUGCAUACUGCUCCUUGGCACAGGGAUGGGGAACCUGCUGCCCUCCGGAUAGGUGUUGUUGGACCUCAACUCUCAUCAGACCCUUGGGAGAGCCAAGCCUCCCUGAGAGGACCUACGGUGUAACAAUGCGGUUUUACCAUUUUGUAGAAUCCCAGGUGAAGGCAGUUGCCCUUUGCGCCGGCUCAGGAAGUAGUGUUCUGAAAGGCACAGAAAGUGAUCUCUACCUCACAGGAGAGAUGUCCCACCAUGAUGUACUGGAUGCUGUUUCCAAAGGGAUAAGCGUGAUCUUGUGUGA
Molecule: non-coding RNA, 2215 nt
Organism: Zootoca vivipara (common lizard)
Lineage: Eukaryota; Metazoa; Chordata; Lepidosauria; Squamata; Lacertidae
Source: RefSeq, a predicted model, not a curated record